RNAcentral lists this long non-coding RNA (2871 nucleotides) under Sorghum bicolor (sorghum). Its description in RNAcentral is "long non-coding RNA (SBIC_LNC002730)". The record is from RNAcentral. Lineage: Eukaryota; Viridiplantae; Streptophyta; Magnoliopsida; Poales; Poaceae.
GUGUAGAUCGGAGGAAGCCCAACCUGUCGGUGUCUACUCCGAGGUUGUACCUGCGGGAUCAAGUUCUCCUAACCCGAAGCUUGCUCCUAGGAUUCUUCAGUAUUUCGACUUCUAAAUUCUAGUAAGUUCUUGUUUUAUUGUUCUUUGGUUUAUGAGUUUACUUUAAUCUCUUCGCGUAGAGUUUAGAGUAAUCAUCUCAAGCGUAGACGUGGUGUUUGGGCUACGAUACUCAUAGAUAUUCCUUGACUAGCUAGACCAUGGUAGUAGCGAGGAACGUGACAUUUCUGAGUUACCUUUGCAGACCAUAUCUUGUUAGCAGGAAGGAUAGGGUUUAUUGGUGCGGGUUGAACAUCCUCUGUGGUGUCUAGAUUCCGUGAGCCUCCCCAAUAGAAUAGUAGAUCAUCCUUACCAAGGUUAGAAAGAGAUUACGGUUGUAGUCUUCUCUAUUUAUCACUCACAUCUAGAAACAUUCUUUGUAGCCUAAAGGUUAGUAGUAAUAGACCAAGUUAGUUAGAUGCACUCUUUCUCCUAGUGGUAAAAAAAUAAAUACGAUACUCUGGAUAACCUCCCGGGUGAAGUGCUCACCGAUAUCCGUGCGCUUGCGGAUCAAUUCCUUAUUGCGUUCCCAAAUAUCAACAACAGGUUAUUCCAAGCUUCACCUGGGUUUGUGAAAUUCAAAGUGUCUACCACAUAAAUCUUUGGUGAUUGAAAUAUGGAAUAGCCUAGAUUCAAGUCCUCUUGACUUUGCUCUUACUUAAGACACUUGGGUUUUUGUAAGUUUUUGAAAUAAAAACAUGGCUUGUGAUUCCUUGAAUGAUUCUCUCAAAUCGCUCAUAUGUGUAAGUGUUUCCUUACCAAGGCAUAGAAGAUUGAUGCCUUCUUAUGAUCUUCCUACCUCUAAAAGCUUUAUCUGGAUUUUUGGGUAGGUAUAAAAGGUGGGCAUACUUGCAGCACAUAUGUUGCGAAGUCAAAAACCGGACCACUAGGAGAUACAAGCCUUACGCCUUGAUUGAGAUUGUGCAAGUGUGUGGAAAUUGUUUGUGGAAUUGAUGGAAAUCUUAAUUCUAAAUAUUUUUGGUCACUCCUUUUUACAUCAUGACUCUCUUUUAUUUUGAAGGAUAAAAGGGAGAGAGAGGAAAACAUAUGGGCUCUAUCUUGUGUAUAUUUUUCCCUCUUUUUUUUCGUGACGGGGACGUUUGAUUUUUUUUUUCUUUCCUUCCCAUCUAUGCCUCUUUGGGUUUUUUUUCUUUUGAAUUUUUUUCAACUAUAGCCCAUAUGUCUUGAUGAAUGGAAUCAGAGAAAUUUAAAGAGAUGUCAUGAGGACAAAAAGUAAGGAGUGAAUUUGGGGAUGCGCAAAUCUCAGAAUGAGAGUUUGGCAUUUUUAUUUGGUGGAAAUCUAAGGCACAACUCUCAGGAUAAGAGUUGGCAAAAUUUUUGGUGGAAGGAAGGGUGCAUGUUGUGCGCGACUUCUUAGUGUAAGAGUCGACUUUAUUUGGUGGGUGCAUGUUGUGCGCGACUUCUAAUCAUGGGCAUAAGACCAUAAUCUCGCUUGGGUCACAACAAUUUGACAAAGCUCAACAUACUACAAGCAGCAUAUGACUGAAGGUUUCAUCAUGAUCAAAGUAUAUUUGGCGUUGGUAGGUGAAAGCUUAAAACCAUUAAAGGAAACUCGCCAUGUGUAACUUUUGUUUGUGAUAAAAUAAAUCCCAAGUACUUUGUAAGAACUUAGCAAGAAUCAUGUCAUCCUACUAUAUCACAUAUGUCGAUUACUUAGAUAAAGUGGGGUCCCUACUACAAGUGUUUAUAACCUCAAGGAUAUUAGCAAUGAUUAAACCAUAUGCAAAGAAAAUUUGAAACUAGGAGACAUGUUAAAUGGAGUUUGAAGGUAAUGAUAUUUUAAAUAUUUUAUUUUUGAAAAACUUUUUAGAAGGGGGAGAAGGUUGUGCAAACCGAGUUCUCGAAGAUUCCCUCCCCCACACUUGUUUUCUUCCCUGUCAUGGUUAGUCAUAAUAUAUAAAGAAAACAAGUGCUCAUGAUAACUCAGAAAUAUUAUUGAUAACUUUGAAAAGGCACAUUAAAUUAUUGAAGGGAAAUUUAAGCAACAAAGAAGAUCAUGCUUGUGCCUAAACAAAGAGAAGCGUGCAGCAGAUGUGGUCUAAAGAUUUUCCACGAGGCGACCAACACCUAGGUUUUCAGCGACCUUCCUCAGCUUAUUGUUGAACCUGAAACAAAACCUAUUGAUAUCGUCGCUGAGGUUCCUAAUCUCAGUAUGCUUCUCUUCUAGGUCGUCUUCUAAAACCCUUAGGACAGAGCGAAGGCUAGCUUGCUCGGAUUUAAGAUCAGCAAGGAUACUAGGAUCAUCCUCCUCAUCGCUGCUCUCGUACUGUCCUGCACGACGCUUGAUGGAUGGCCGGGGCAAAUGCCUCCUAAUCCUAGGGAGAGCACUGGAGGAUUUGGCCUCCUUGGAUUUGCCAGCCUUCAGGCUACCAACACGACUGCUAGAUCCUUCACCACUAGGAUUUUUCUUCUUGCGCUCUAUGUUAUUUGUGGUGGAACGGGCAGCACACUGUUGAUGGGUGCUUUGUGGUUUGCUGGUAGGGCGGCCAAAGGAUUUCUCUUUUCCUGACGGACUUUCUCCCGAGAAGAAUUCUCUUGGUAGGGUGCUAUAUGUAGGUUUGCUACGGUCUUGGGUGCGUUGAUCAGUGAGAGGGCAUAGCUAGCCAUGAUUAGCACUUGGGAAUGGGAGAGCUUAGCAAACUUUUGCACAAGGGAGAAGAGAGAGUCUUGGUGUGAAGAAAAGAGAGAGCCAUGGGCUGUUUAAAUAGGUUCAACCGAGGUCAUAAAAACAGAAACAAACUUGAUCGUAGGCGG